Molecule: ribosomal RNA, 667 nt
Filed under: uncultured bacterium
Lineage: Bacteria
Description: bacterial SSU rRNA
Rfam family: Bacterial small subunit ribosomal RNA
Source: RNAcentral
AUUAGCUUGUUGGCGGGGUAACGGCCCACCAAGGCGACGAUCAGUAGCCGGCCUGAGAGGGUGGACGGCCACAUUGGGACUGAGACACGGCCCAAACUCCUACGGGAGGCAGCAGUAGGGAAUCUUCCACAAUGGGCGAAAGCCUGAUGGAGCAACGCCGCGUGGGUGAAGAAGGUCUUCGGAUCGUAAAACCCUGUUGUUAGAGAAGAAAGUGCGUGAGAGUAACUGUUCACGUUUCGACGGUAUCUAACCAGAAAGCCACGGCUAACUACGUGCCAGCAGCCGCGGUAAUACGUAGGUGGCAAGCGUUAUCCGGAUUUAUUGGGCGUAAAGGGAACGCAGGCGGUCUUUUAAGUCUGAUGUGAAAGCCUUCGGCUUAACCGGAGUAGUGCAUUGGAAACUGGGAGACUUGAGUGCAGAAGAGGAGAGUGGAACUCCAUGUGUAGCGGUGAAAUGCGUAGAUAUAUGGAGGAACACCAGUGGCGAAGGCGGCUUCCUGGUCUGCAACUGACACUGAGGCGCGAAAGCGUGGGGAGCAAACAGGAUUAGAUACCCUGGUAGUCCACGCCGUAAACGAUGAGUGCUAAGUGUUGGGGGUCGAACCUCAGUGCUGAAGUUAACGCAUUAAGCACUCCGCCUGGGGAGUACGGUCGCAAGACUGAAACUC